AUUGAACGCUGGCGGAAUGCUUUACACAUGCAAGUCGAACGGUAGAGGGGGCAACCCCUCGAGUGUGGCGAACGGGUGAGUAAAGUAUCGGAACGUGCCCAGUCGUGGGGGAUAACGUAGCGAAAGUUACGCUAAUACCGCAUACGAUCUAUGGAUGAAAGCGGGGGAUCGCAAGACCUCGCGCGAUUGGAGCGGCCGAUAUCAGAUUAGGUAGUUGGUGGGGUAAAGGCUCACCAAGCCGACGAUCUGUAGCUGGUCUGAGAGGACGACCGGCCACACUGGGACUGAGACACGGCCCAGACUCCUGCGGAGUCAGCAGUGGGGAAUUUUGGACAAUGGGCGCAAGCCUGAUCCAGCCAUGCCGCGUGCAGGAUGAAGGCCUUCGGGUUGUAAACUGCUUUUGUACGGAACGAAAAGGUUUGACUUAAUACGUUGGACUCAUGACGGUACCGUAAGAAUAAGCACCGGCUAACUACGUGCCAGCAGCCGCCGUAA
RNAcentral lists this ribosomal RNA (495 nucleotides) under uncultured bacterium. RNAcentral's name for it is "partial 16S ribosomal RNA". It matches the Rfam family "Bacterial small subunit ribosomal RNA", at positions 30 to 523 of the family's 1533-position model. The record is from RNAcentral.